GACGAACGCUGGCGGCGUGCUUAACACAUGCAAGUCGAACGGAAAGGCCCUGCUUUUGUGGGGUGCUCGAGUGGCGAACGGGUGAGUAACACGUGAGUAACCUGCCCUUGACUUUGGGAUAACUUCAGGAAACUGGGGCUAAUACCGGAUAGGAGCUCUUGCUGCAUGGUGGGGGAUGGAAAGUUUCGGCGGUUGGGGAUGGACUCGCGGCUUAUCAGCUUGUUGGUGGGGUAGUGGCUUACCAAGGCUUUGACGGGUAGCCGGCCUGAGAGGGUGACCGGCCACAUGGGGACUGAGAUAGGGCGCAGACGGCUACGGGAGGCAGCAGUGGGGAAUAUUGCAGAGUAGGCGGGAGCCUGAUGCAGCGGCGCCGCGUGCGGGAUGACGGCCUUCGGGUUGUAAACCGCUUUCGCCUGUGACGAAGCGUGAGUGACGGUAAUGGGUAAAGAAGCACCGGCUAACUACGUG
This 468-nucleotide ribosomal RNA is filed under the name uncultured bacterium. RNAcentral's name for it is "partial 16S ribosomal RNA". It matches the Rfam family "Bacterial small subunit ribosomal RNA", at positions 28 to 507 of the family's 1533-position model. The record is from RNAcentral.